GAUGAAGAACGCAGCGAAAUGCGAUAAGUAAUGUGAAUUGCAGAAUUCAGUGAAUCAUCGAAUCUUUGAACGCACAUUGCGCCCGCCAGUAUUCUGGCGGGCAUGCCUGUCCGAGCGUCAUUUCAACCAUCAAGCCCCGGGCUUGUGUUGGGGACCUGCGUCCGACGCAGGCCCUGAAAACCAGUGGCGGGCUCGCUGUCCACACCGAGCGUAGUAGCAUACAUCUCGCUCUGGGCGUGCUGCGGGUUCCGGCCGUUAAACCACCUUCAUAACCCAAGGUUGACCUCGGAUCAGGUAGGAAGACCCGCUGAACUUAAGCAUAUCAAUAAGCGGAGGA
RNAcentral lists this unclassified non-coding RNA (337 nucleotides) under soil metagenome. Its description in RNAcentral is "partial contains 5.8S ribosomal RNA, internal transcribed spacer 2, and large subunit ribosomal RNA". The stretch from base 1 to 120 matches the Rfam family "5.8S ribosomal RNA", at positions 35 to 154 of the family's 154-position model. The record is from RNAcentral.